Molecule: ribosomal RNA, 426 nt
Filed under: uncultured bacterium
Lineage: Bacteria
Description: bacterial SSU rRNA
Rfam family: Bacterial small subunit ribosomal RNA
Source: RNAcentral
UGGGGAAUAUUGGACAAUGGGGGGAACCCUGAUCCAGCAAUGCCGCGUGUGUGAAGAAGGCCUGCGGGUUGUAAAGCACUUUAGUUGGGGAGGAAAGAGCGAAGGUGAAUAUCCUUUGAAGUGACGUUACCCAAAGAAUAAGCACCGGCUAACUCCGUGCCAGCAGCCGCGGUAAUACGGAGGGUGCGAGCGUUAAUCGGAAUUACUGGGCGUAAAGCGUGUGUAGGCGGUUAAUUAAGUCAGAUGUGAAAGCCCCGGGCUCAACCUGGGAACUGCAUUUGAUACUGGUUAACUAGAGUACGGUAGAGGGCAGUGGAAUUUCUGGUGUAGCGGUGAAAUGCGUAGAUAUCAGAAGGAACACCGAUGGCGAAGGCAGCUGCCUGGGCCGAAACUGACGCUGAGAUACGAAAGCGUGGGGAGCAAACA